RNAcentral lists this non-coding RNA (803 nucleotides) under Ellipsidion sp. BLA050. Lineage: Eukaryota; Metazoa; Arthropoda; Insecta; Blattodea; Pseudophyllodromiidae. The record is from RNAcentral.
GUUAAGUUUUAUUCUUGCUUUUCUAUUUAUUUUUUUAUUGUUUUAUAUGCUUAUUUUUGUUAUUUUUAGUUGUAUUCUUAAUGGAUUGAUUUAAUUUAUUUUAUAUUAUGCAGUACUGAAUAUUACAUAUUUGGGUUACUUUGAUUUAGUUAUUAAAAUUUAUUAUUGAUUAAAGAUGUGCCAGCAAUCGCGGUUAUACAUUGUAUGAAAAUAAAUAUUAUUGGUUUUAUGGUUAAUAUUUUAUUUAUAAAUUUUUGUUUGAUUAUUAUUUGGGUGAAAUUGUUAAUUUUUGUUUAUUUAUUUUUUUUAUCUAUUUGAAGCCAUGAAGUUUAAGAUAUAUAAACUAGGAUUAGAUACCCUAUUAUUUUUUAUUUAAAUUUGGUUACUUGGGUAGUAUUAGAUUGUUCUUGAAACUCAUAGAAGUUUGGCGGUAUUUUAAUUACUCUUUAGAGGAAUCUGUUCCGUAAUCGAUAAUCCGCGAUGGACCUUACUUUAUAUGUUGGUUUGUAUACCGCCGUUGUUGAAUAUUUUCUUAGAAUUUUUAAUUUUCUUGAUUUUUUAUUAGAUAUUAUUUCAGGUCAAGGUGCAGCUUAUUAUAUAGUGGAAAUGGAUUACAAUUUUUUUUUGGAAUAUGGAUGUGACUAGUAUUGGUUAUCUUGAAGGUGGAUUUAAUAGUAAUUUUAUGUAGAUUGUUAAAAUGGAGUGAGCUCUGGAAUAUGUACAUAUCGCCCGUCACUCUCGUUGAUUUUAAAUGAGAUAAGUCGUAACAAAGUAGCUGUACUGGAAAGUGUGGCUAGAUAUAU